This 852-nucleotide ribosomal RNA is filed under the name uncultured sulfate-reducing bacterium. RNAcentral's name for it is "bacterial SSU rRNA". It matches the Rfam family "Bacterial small subunit ribosomal RNA", at positions 302 to 1155 of the family's 1533-position model. The record is from RNAcentral.
GAUCAGCCACACUGGAACUGACACACGGACCAGACUCCUACGGGAGGCAGCAGUAAGGAAUAUUGGUCAAUGGGCGCAAGCCUGAACCAGCCAUGCCGCGUGCAGGAAGACGGCCCUAUGGGUUGUAAACUGCUUUUGUCAGGGAAUAAACCCCCGCUCGUGAGCGGGGCUGAAGGUACCUGAAGAAUAAGCAUCGGCUAACUCCGUGCCAGCAGCCGCGGUAAUACGGAGGAUGCAAGCGUUAUCCGGAUUCAUUGGGUUUAAAGGGUGCGCAGGCGGAUUGGUAAGUCAGGGGUGAAAUCCCACAGCUCAACUGUGGAACUGCCUUUGAUACUGUCAGUCUAGAGUAUAGUUGAAGUUGGCGGAAUGUGUCAUGUAGCGGUGAAAUGCUUAGAUAUGACACAGAACACCGAUCGCGAAGGCAGCUAGCUAAGCUAUAACUGACGCUCAUGCACGAAAGCGUGGGGAUCAAACAGGAUUAGAUACCCUGGUAGUCCACGCUGUAAACGAUGAUUACUCGAUGUUGGCGAUACACAGUCAGCGUCUGAGCGAAAGCAAUAAGUAAUCCACCUGGGGAGUACGAUCGCAAGAUUGAAACUCAAAGGAAUUGACGGGGGCCCGCACAAGCGGAGGAGCAUGUGGUUUAAUUCGAUGAUACGCGAGGAACCUUACCUGGGCUCGAACGUAAGAUGACUGUAGGUGAAAGCUUACAUCUCUUCGGAGCAUUUUACGAGGUGCUGCAUGGUUGUCGUCAGCUCGUGCCGUGAGGUGUCGGGUUAAGUCCCAUAACGAGCGCAACCCCUACCUUUAGUUGCCAUCAGGUCAUGCUGGGGACUCUGAAGAUACUGCCCC